This 494-nucleotide ribosomal RNA is filed under the name uncultured bacterium. RNAcentral describes it as "partial 16S ribosomal RNA". It matches the Rfam family "Bacterial small subunit ribosomal RNA", at positions 28 to 507 of the family's 1533-position model. The record is from RNAcentral.
GACUAACGCUGGCGGCGCGCUUAACACAUGCAGGUCGAACGGAAAGGCCUGCUUUCCCUUGUGGAUUGCGGGUACUCGAGUGGCGAACGGGUGAGUAACACGUGAGUGAUCUGCCCCCAACUUGGGUAUAAGCCUGGGAAACUGGGUCUAAUUCCCGAUAGGACUGCAGGGUGGUGCCUGUGGUGGAAAACGAUUUUCUAGUGGUUGGGGAUGAGCUCGCGGCCUAUCAGCUUGUUGGUGGGGUAAUGGCCUACCAAGGCGGCGACGGGUAGCCGGCCUGAGAGGGUGGACGGCCACAUUGGGACUGAGAUACGGCCCAGACUCCUACGGGAGGCAGCAGUGGGGAAUAUUGCACAAUGGGCGGAAGCCUGAUGCAGCGACGCCGCGUGGGGGAUGACGGCCUUCGGGUUGUAAACUCCUUUCGACCGCGAGGAAGCCACCUGGUUGGAAGGGUGGUGACGGUAGUGGUAGAAGAAGCACCGGCUAACUACGUG